Eucalyptus grandis is the source of this 1126-nucleotide RNA transcript. It is a transcript of the gene named peptide chain release factor PrfB3, chloroplastic-like, with no coding region annotated. The transcript has 4 exons. NCBI's taxonomy places the organism in Eukaryota, Viridiplantae, Streptophyta, Magnoliopsida, Myrtales, Myrtaceae. The record is from RefSeq and is a predicted model, not a curated record.
GACUUUUAUCUGCUGAAAUUUGCAGGCGGAAGAAGCAAAGCUGAUAACUCAACUGGUGGAGAUGGAUGCUAUUAAUUAUGCUCUUUUUGAGCAGGCAUACACUUCGUCUUUGGAUAUGAGUAAGUUUUUGGACUGUUAUGAGAUGUUAAAGCUUCUUAAGGGACCAUAUGAUGUGAAUGGAGCGUCGAUGGUCAUCAAAGCUGAAUCCAAUGGCAAUUACCAUGAGAUGAAAUCCUGGAAAAUAGCGGACUGUAAUAUUCAUCUAUAAUGGGGAUAUAUUCCUUUUCCAUUAGCUAAUUCAAUGAAGUUCACUCAGUUUUGUUGACCCAAAAAAAAAAAAAAAAAUCUUUUGGGCUUAAGCCUCUGCUGGUUCCAAUCUCUCUGUCUCUCAUGCAUUUGCUAAUCCAGUUAUGGGCUGAAAAACUACUGAGAAUGUACCAAAAAUGGGCUGAGAAGCAAGGUUAUUGAGGGAGGAUUGUAGAGAAGCGUCGGGCAACAAAUGGUGGAAUCACUUCUGCAACAGUUGAAUUUGAAUUUGAUUAUGCAUAUGGUUGUCUUCAAGGGGAGAGGGGUGUUCAUCAAAUAAUAAGUGGUUCAGAAACUGGAUCAACAAUUGAUGAGGUUAGCCUAGCAGCUGUCGAUAUAAUUCAUCUGUUCCGUGAUUCGGCCCCUGACCUAAAAAUUAGUGAGGAGGAUUUGCUAAUCUUGUGCCCAUCGUCAUCGCCUGAAGUAAAAGUCAUUGAAGGCUGGUCUGGAGUUGUUAUUCAGCAUGUUCCUACUGGUUUUGUCGUCCAAUCUUUGGGUGAAAGGAGCAUUUUUGCAAAUAAGAUUAAGGCCCUCAACUGGUUGAAGGCUAAACUUCUUAUCGCAGCCAGAGAUGUAGGAGUUCCAAGCAUAAAUGGCUUCAAGAAAGAAAAUGUGUUCGAUGUAUGGCGAGACAAGGUCCGAAGAUAUGUUCUUUACCCUCGCAAGCAUGUGAAAGAUGUAAGAAGUGGUGUUGAAAUGCCUGACCUGUAUUCUGUUUUGGACGGUAAUAUAGAACCUCUGAUUGGAGCUCAUAUCCAGAUGAGACUCUCAAAUGACAUGCCUCCAUAGUAAAGCAGCUUUUCCCAAUUUGCUCUAUUAA